AAAAAAGCAAACUUUAAAUUUCUGUGUCCAACUUUGACUGUCUAUCUUAUAUAAAAAUUUUUUAUAAUUCAUAUUUUCAUUGUUGUUAAAUAAUAAAACAUGAUUAAUAUUUUAUGCGUGACUUGUCUUUUUAAUUUUUUUUCUAAUUUUUUCAAAUAAAACGAACAGUCAAACGUUGGACACGGAAACCAGGGUUUGUCUUUUU
Non-coding RNA from Oryza barthii, 205 nucleotides. NCBI's taxonomy places the organism in Eukaryota, Viridiplantae, Streptophyta, Magnoliopsida, Poales, Poaceae. The record is from Rfam.